CAGCCCUGAGACCAGAUCAGACAGAAGACUACAAGGGAAGGUGCACAGGCCCGGUGGGAAGGCAGCUGUGUCCUGAGGUUUCAGGGAGACAGAACAGCCUAGCCUGCUCCUGCCGUAUGAGCUGGGGGAACUGAAAGUGGAUGUGAAUGGCAGAAGUCACUGGUCAGUAGUCACAGGCUCUCCGAAGCUCUGCCUUUUGACAUCGUAUCAGCAAGAAUGGAGGGUCCCACUCUCAGCUGGAGGAUCU
Hippopotamus amphibius kiboko is the source of this 247-nucleotide long non-coding RNA. RefSeq lists it as uncharacterized. The transcript is spliced from 3 exons. The record is from RefSeq and is a predicted model, not a curated record. NCBI's taxonomy places the organism in Eukaryota, Metazoa, Chordata, Mammalia, Artiodactyla, Hippopotamidae.